This is a long non-coding RNA of Papilio xuthus (Asian swallowtail), 317 nucleotides long. RefSeq lists it as uncharacterized. The record is from RefSeq and is a predicted model, not a curated record. The transcript is spliced from 3 exons. NCBI's taxonomy places the organism in Eukaryota, Metazoa, Arthropoda, Insecta, Lepidoptera, Papilionidae.
GCAGCAGUCAAUUUGAUUGCCAUUAUUGUUUUUGUAUUAUUUUAUUAAAUGAAAUGCUAUUAGAUAAAUAUUUGGGCAGUGAAAGUUUAUUCCAAAAUGAUUUGGAGAUAAAAAUGUGUUAUGUUCGGCGGUAGUGCUUGUGAUUUUAUCCGGACAGGAGAAAAACCGCAGGCAGGAUACGGCUUUGCAGAUAACUAAAUAUUUAUAAAGGCUGUUUGAUAAGAUGCAUGAGAAAAUUGCAGCACAAUACAAAACGCGAUUUAUUCCGAAAAGAUAAAUAUGAGGGAAUCAAAUAUAUUAGCACAUCUACAUUAAAA